This 257-nucleotide ribosomal RNA is filed under the name uncultured prokaryote. Its description in RNAcentral is "partial 16S ribosomal RNA". It matches the Rfam family "Bacterial small subunit ribosomal RNA", at positions 522 to 777 of the family's 1533-position model. The record is from RNAcentral.
AACACGUAGGCACCAAGCGUUGUCCGGAUUUAUUGGGCGUAAAGAGCUCGUAGGCGGUUGAGUAAGUCGGGUGUGAAAACUCUGGGCUUAACCCAGAGCCGCCACUCGAUACUGCUCUGACUUGAGUACGGUAGGGGAGCAGGGAAUUCCUAGUGUAGCGGUGAAAUGCGAAGAUAUUAGGAGGAACACCGGUGGCGAAGGCGCUGCUCUGGGCCGAAACUGACGCUGAGGAGCGAAAGCGUGGGUAGCAAACAGGA